This 505-nucleotide ribosomal RNA is filed under the name uncultured archaeon. RNAcentral describes it as "bacterial SSU rRNA". It matches the Rfam family "Archaeal small subunit ribosomal RNA", at positions 325 to 831 of the family's 1478-position model. The record is from RNAcentral.
ACGGGGUGCAGCAGGCGCGAAAACUUUGCAAUGUGCGAAAGCACGACAAGGUUAAUCCGAGUGAUUUGUGCUAAACGAAUCUUUUGUUAGUCCUAGAACCACUAACGAAUAAGGGGUGGGCAAGUUCUGGUGUCAGCCGCCGCGGUAAAACCAGCACCUCAAGUGGUCAGGAUGAUUAUUGGGCCUAAAGCAUCCGUAGCCGGCUCUGUAAGUUUUCGGUUAAAUCUGUACGCUUAACGUACAGGCUGCCGGGAAUACUGCAGAGCUAGGGAGUGGGAGAGGUAGACGGUACUCGGUAGGAAGGGGUAAAAUCCUUUGAUCUAUUGAUGACCACCUGUGGCGAAGGCGGUCUACCAGAACACGUCCGACGGUGAGGGAUGAAAGCUGGGGGAGCAAACCGGAUUAGAUACCCGGGUAGUCCCAGCUGUAAACUAUGCAAACUCAGUGAUGCAUUGACUUGUGGUCAAUGCAGUGCUGCAGGGAAGCCGUUAAGUUUGCCGCCUGG